AUUGAACGCUGGCGGCAGGCCUAACACAUGCAAGUCGAACGGUAACAGGAAGAUGCUUGCUUCUUUGCUGACGAGUGGCGGACGGGUGAGUAAUGUCUGGGAAACUGCCUGAGGGAGGGGGAUAACUACUGGAAACGGUAGCUAAUACCGCAUAACGUCGCAAGACCAAAGAGGUGGACCUUCGGGCCUCUUGCCAUCGGAUGGGCCCAGAUGGGAUUAGCUAGUAGGUGGGGUAACGGCUCACCUAGGCGACGAUCCCUAGCUGGUCUGAGAGGAUGACCAGCCACACUGGAACUGAGACACGGUCCAGACUCCUACGGGAGGCAGCAGUGGGGAAUAUUGCACAAUGGGCGAAAGCCUGAUGCAGCCAUGCCGCGUGUAUGAAGAAGGCCUUCGGGUUGUAAAGUACUUUAAGCGGGGAGGAAGGGAGUAAAGUUAAUACCUUUGCUCAUUGACGUUACCCGCAGAAGAAGCACCGGCUAACUCCGUG
Molecule: ribosomal RNA, 490 nt
Filed under: uncultured bacterium
Lineage: Bacteria
Description: partial 16S ribosomal RNA
Rfam family: Bacterial small subunit ribosomal RNA
Source: RNAcentral